Long non-coding RNA from Ipomoea nil (Japanese morning glory), 1691 nucleotides. RefSeq lists it as uncharacterized. Lineage: Eukaryota; Viridiplantae; Streptophyta; Magnoliopsida; Solanales; Convolvulaceae. The record is from RefSeq and is a predicted model, not a curated record. The transcript is spliced from 3 exons.
UACAUCAAAUUUUACAGCCACAUCUUCCCCCUCUUCUCUUUCCACCUCUCCUAAAUCCCUAAAACAUUCAUUCUUUUCCUAAGUCGCCAGACCUAGUCAUUGCCUCUUCCUUCAAAUCGUUGCAACUCGCUCGCCGCCGUUUUCGCCUCCAGCCAUCAGGUAUUUUCGUUUCUCUGGUUUUAUUUUUCAUUAUUUUUCUCUUCAAUCGGAUGUGCCAGGUUGAUGACGCAAAGAGGGAAAUCUAGCUCGCCAUCGGCCGCCAAGCUCGAGGACGGCUGCAAUGACGUGAACCUCGGUGAACAACAUCGGAGAGAGAAGCUUCGACGACCUUGAACAACGGCAAAGAGGACGUGGAUGACGGCUUGUGUUCUGUUUGUCUCUCUUAUUUCAUGCCCUUUCCUUAUUCUUGGUGUUUAAAUACCCUUCAAUUUCUUAUACUCUAAAUAUAACUGCGGAUUCCAAAAAUCCAUUUUUGAUUUCCCUUUUAAGAUAUAAAGGAUGAUUCUUGUUGUCAAUGUAUUAUGAUAUUUCUGCACAUUUGUUGUUGAUUUCAAUAUUUUUUGGGAUAGUUUGGCUUCUAUUUGUCCUUAACGAAGGUGCAUUUUAAAAUACUUGUCAUCUUUUAUUUAUUUUUGUUGUAUUUCAUUCAAGAUGGUUGUUUUUUAUUGAGGAAGAAGCUAAUUGGUGGCAGUUUUUUGAUUGAGGAAGAAGCUUGAUCAGGAUAGUGUUUUGAUCUCAUUUUGUUUUCCAUAUUAUUUUUCACAUAUCAAAAUUCUGAAGUUCUGGAUCCUAAAUAUGAUGAAUCACUGAAUACACAUACAGAAGUGUCCAUGUAAGAAGACUUGGAAUAUGGUAUGUGUUAAUCUAAUCUCUUAGGCUUCCUCCAACAUCCCUCAGUGUAAGUUCAUUUGGUCAUCAUCUUAUGCUUCUUUACUAUAAAUCUAAUUGAAGCAGCCCAUAGCUAAAAAUAGAUAAUAAUCUGAUGAUGUUUUUAGUGAUUCAUUUAUGCUUCUUCUUUAUGAUUAUAUUAUGUGUGUCUGUAGUCAUUUAGAUUAUUUGAUAAUGAAGGUUGACCAGUUCUUGUAUAUUCUACAAAUGCUGGUGUUGCUCUAGCUGGUCUGUUAGGGACUGUUAGAGCGCAGGGUUGACCAUUAACUGAUUUUGCCAAUCAAAAAAUAGUUGUGGUUGGAGCCGGAAGGUAGGUUAAAAUACAAGUACUAAAAUGUAUUCCCUUGUUCAUAUGAUCUAUGUUUUCAAUGGAAGCCUCAUGCUACAUUUUCUUAUUUUGUCCUUCUUUCUCUUGAUUCAGUGCAGGGCUUGCUGUUCUGAACAUGGCAAUGUAGGAUGUUUCGAGAAUGUCAGGGCCAUCAGCAAAUCCCCACUUUCUUGUUUUGGAUAAGAACGGUCUUAUCACAGAAGAGAGGCAGGACCUUGAUCCAGCUGUUUUUCCUUUUGCUAAAGCGGCCCAGCAUGAGAUCAAGAGCAUAGGACUUCAUGAAGGUGCAAGUCUUGCUGAAGUGUUGAAAGACAGUCUUGUGAUUUUGAAGCUGGAAGUGAUACGAUAAUUGAUAAGCAGGGGUUUGACUGUUUGACUGCACCACUGUUCUUGCAAGACUUGAGGCAAAAUUAGUUCAAAUGCAAAAGACUUGAGGCAAAAUAACCCGUAAAUACAUUACUAUGACUAUUUGUUA